Molecule: ribosomal RNA, 253 nt
Filed under: uncultured bacterium
Lineage: Bacteria
Description: partial 16S ribosomal RNA
Rfam family: Bacterial small subunit ribosomal RNA
Source: RNAcentral
UACGUAGGGGGCAAGCGUUGUCCGGAUUUAUUGGGCGUAAAGAGCGUGUAGGUGGCCAGGUAGGUGGGUUGUGAAAACUGGAGGCUCAACCUUCAGACGUCGACCCAAACCCCCUGGCUAGAGUCCGGAAGAGGAGAGUGGAAUUCCUGGUGUAGCGGUGAAAUGCGCAGAUAUCAGGAAGAACACCCGUGGCGAAAGCGGCUCUCUGGAACGGUACUGACGCUGAGACGCGAAAGCGUGGGGAGCGAACAGG